GGCGGGAUAGCUCAGCUGGCUAGAGCGACCGGUUCAUACCCGGUAGGUCGGGAGUUCAAGUCUCUCUCCCGCUACCA
RNAcentral lists this transfer RNA (77 nucleotides) under bacterium. RNAcentral's name for it is "tRNA-Met". It matches the Rfam family "tRNA". From Rfam's summary of the family: Transfer RNA (tRNA) molecules are approximately 80 nucleotides in length. Their secondary structure includes four short double-helical elements and three loops (D, anti-codon, and T loops). The record is from RNAcentral.